This is a non-coding RNA of Peromyscus maniculatus bairdii (prairie deer mouse), 597 nucleotides long. Lineage: Eukaryota; Metazoa; Chordata; Mammalia; Rodentia; Cricetidae. The record is from RefSeq and is a predicted model, not a curated record.
AUCAUGUCAAGCUCCAGGGUGAGAUGGGACCUGCUGGUCUUCAAUCAGGGAUGAAGAGGAAGUUCCAAGUCACAGCAGUUCCACCCACGCCCUGCCCCUUGAAGUAAACCUCCGUACUUGGAGUCUGAGUAAUCUCUCAGAGGAAAAGACACGUGCUACAUAAUGAUGCUGGGACAGAGAUGGUCUACAGCACACAAUGACAGUCCCAUGAAAAUAUCAUCUGGUGACAUCAUAGGCAGCCUGAUUUGGAGCUUCUGACAUGGUUCAUUAGUGGAAUAUAACGGCAGUGAUUCUGCACAGCUCCCAGGCGAGACUUCGGAAGACCUCAUGACUAACACUGGUGCUCUCUUGGAACAAUGUGAGAGGCCUGAACUGUCCUCCUGAUGGACAGACUGACAGCUAAUUAUCAGCCACGGGAGUGACACCAACUUACACCAGCCUGGGUGCACACUGCCAAUGACUGAAGCCACCAGAGUGACGCAGAUAGACUGACUAGCUGAACUCAGACUGAAUAAAAUCUUCAGCAGGUGAAGAAUAGAUGGCCGAUGCAAGAUUGUGGUAUAAAUAUACAAUAAUAUAGGGAUAAAAUUUGGCUUA